CCUUAGAGUUUGAUCCUGGCUCAGAACGAACGCUGGCGGCAUGCCUAACACAUGCAAGUCGAACGGGUGUAGCAAUACACCAGUGGCAGACGGGUGCGUAACACGUGGGAACCUGCCCAGAGGUUCGGAAUAGCUGCGGGAAACUGCAGGUAAUACCGAAUGUUGCCUGAGGGCUAAAGGAGCAAUCCGCCUUUGGAGGGGCCCGCGUCCGAUUAGCUAGUUGGUGAGGUAACGGCUCACCAAGGCUACGAUCGGUAGCUGGUCUGAGAGGAUGACCAGCCACACUGGAACUGAGACACGGUCCAGACUCCUACGGGAGGCAGCAGUGGGGAAUAUUGGACAAUGGGGGAAACCCUGAUCCAGCAAUGCCGCGUGGGUGAUGAAGGCCUUCGGGUUGUAAAGCCCUUUUGGCGGGGACGAUGAUGACGGUACCCGCAGAAUAAGCCCCGGCUAACUUCGUGCCAGCAGCCGCGGUAAUACGAAGGGGGCUAGCGUUGUUCGGAAUUACUGGGCGUAAAGGGCGCGUAGGCGGCUGUGCAAGUCAGAUGUGAAAGCCCUGGGCUCAACCCAGGAUGUGCAUUUGAUACUGCAUGGCUAGAGUGUCGGAGAGGAUGGUGGAAUUCCCAGUGUAGAGGUGAAAUUCGUAGAUAUUGGGAAGAACACCGGUGGCGAAGGCGACCAUCUGGACGACAACUGACGCUGAGGCGCGAAAGCGUGGGGAGCAAACAGGAUUAGAUACCCUGGUAGUCCACGCCGUAAACUAUGCGUGUUGGACGUUGGCGAGCCUAGCUCGUCGGUGU
Molecule: ribosomal RNA, 800 nt
Filed under: uncultured bacterium
Lineage: Bacteria
Description: bacterial SSU rRNA
Rfam family: Bacterial small subunit ribosomal RNA
Source: RNAcentral